RNAcentral lists this ribosomal RNA (253 nucleotides) under uncultured bacterium. Its description in RNAcentral is "partial 16S ribosomal RNA". It matches the Rfam family "Bacterial small subunit ribosomal RNA", at positions 524 to 776 of the family's 1533-position model. The record is from RNAcentral.
UACGUAGGGGGCAAGCGUUGUCCGGAAUUACUGGGCGUAAAGCGCGUGUAGGCGGGCCGGCAAGUCGGUCGUGAAAGGCUUCGGCUCAACCGGAGAUGGCCGAUCGAAACUGCCGUUCUUGAGGGUCGAAGAGGAGAGUGGAAUUCCUGGUGUAGCGGUGAAAUGCGUAGAGAUCAGGAGGAACACCCAUGGCGAAGGCAGCUCUCUGGUCGACCUCUGACGCUGAGACGCGAAAGCGUGGGGAGCGAACGGG